RNAcentral lists this non-coding RNA (27 nucleotides) under Rattus norvegicus (Norway rat). Lineage: Eukaryota; Metazoa; Chordata; Mammalia; Rodentia; Muridae. The record is from RNAcentral.
UAUAUUGCACAGAAGUCCCAUGGCCCU